This 465-nucleotide ribosomal RNA is filed under the name uncultured Klebsiella sp. RNAcentral describes it as "bacterial SSU rRNA". It matches the Rfam family "Bacterial small subunit ribosomal RNA", at positions 338 to 795 of the family's 1533-position model. The record is from RNAcentral. Lineage: Bacteria; Pseudomonadati; Pseudomonadota; Gammaproteobacteria; Enterobacterales; Enterobacteriaceae.
CCUACGGGUGGCAGCAGUGGGGAAUAUUGCACAACGGGCGCAAGCCUGAUGCAGCCAUGCCGCGUGUGUGAAGAAGGCCUUCGGGUUGUAAAGCACUUUCAGCGGGGAGGAAGGCGGUGAGGUUAAUAACCUCAUCGAUUGACGUUACCCGCAGAAGAAGCACCGGCUAGCUCCGUGCCAGCAGCCGCGGUAAUACGGAGGGUGCAAGCGUUAAUCGGAAUUACUGGGCGUAAAGCGCACGCAGGCGGUCUGUCAAGUCGGAUGUGAAAUCCCCGGGCUCAACCUGGGAACUGCAUUCGAAACUGGCAGGCUAGAGUCUUGUAGAGGGGGGUAGAAUUCCAGGUGUAGCGGUGAAAUGCGUAGAGAUCUGGAGGAAUACCGGUGGCGAAGGCGGCCCCCUGGACAAAGACUGACGCUCAGGUGCGAAAGCGUGGGGAGCAAACAGGAUUAGAUACCCGUGUAGUC